GCUGUGUCAUUUACUUGGAGCAGAGUCCUGCACUUACUAUGUGUAUGGUUAAUGCUUGUUGAGUGACUGCUACAGGAAACCUACACACUUGUCCAGAAAUUUCAUUUAAGCUUUUCGUCCUAAUUGUCACAUUGUUCUCUCCCUUUUCUGAAAUGCUGUGAUGUUCCUAGUUCCCAAAACAGUACUUGUAUAGCAAUUACUGUUAAUUAUUUCAUUGAGUUAAUCUCAUUCCCAUAACGGAUUAAGUUUUAGACUAAGAAAUAAUUUUUUUUGUUUGAGACAUGAACUCACUACCUUCACCCAGGCUGGAGUGCAGUGGCAUGAUCAUGGCUCGAUGCAGCCCUGACAUCCUGGGCUCAAGUGAUCCUCCCACCUCAGUCUCCCAAAUAGCUGGGACUACAGGCAUGCGCCACCACGCCCAGCUAAUUUUUUGUAUUUUUAAUAGAGAUGAGGUCUUGCCAUGUUGCUCAGGCUGGUCUUGAACUCUUGAGCUCAAGUGAUCUGACCUCUCAGCCUCCCAAAGUGGUGGCAUUACAGGUGUGAGCCACCGCGACUGGCUAAAAAUUCUUAAUUGUAUACUCUUUUGUAGUAUUCUCUUGGGACCACCUAAGUCAAGCCUCAUUCCCACCAGAUGGUGCCCCUGUUGGGGGCAGUGAAGAAGCCUUCUAUGUCUGUUUCAUGACUCCUUCUUGGCUGGCACACUGUUGUGGGCGCUCUGUAGGUAGUCAAUGGGAAACGGGAAAGCUACUUGCGGUUAGAAUAAUACGAGAACUAGAUAUUGGUAAUCUCAGCUGAGCGAAUGGCAAAGGAACUGAUGAAGCAGGUGGAUUCCAAGGCUAGUUAGGAGAAGGAAUUGACUACAAGUGGUGUUGGUGGGAUGGGAGGGGUGAGGGAGGGGGGAUGGGAGGGGUAAGGGACGGGGGUGCAUCAGAGGUUACUCCCAGGGCUCUGCCAGACCCUGGGUAGAUGGAGCCGCCGUUUUACAGAGGUAAGGACAAGAGUUUAGUUUUGAACAUUCCAAGUGGAGAUGUCCAGGACACAAUUAUAUACCUAGGCUGCCAUUCUGGGAGGAGAUCUGAGUGGGAGACCAUGAUUUGGGAAUUAUCACCACAGAUGGUAAUUUAAGCCUUGGGAGAGGAUGAGUUUGCCCCCAAAGAGAGCAUAAAGUAAGAAAAUUGGGCUCUCCGUGUUUCAAGGUUGACUAAAGAUCCUGUCAUUUGACUAGGCUCUGCUAUAGUCUGCAAAAUCUGCCCAGGGACAGAAUAUUGAAGUAAAUAAAGUGUAUUCCAGUGAAACCUCAAAUAGAUUGAUUCAAAACUGGAGUUAGAAAAACUUGUGGUUUUUCUUGGUAAAGCUUCAUUUUCUAUUUGUCUUCAUAACUAUAAAUGGAUGUAUUUGUGUGGAAGAUGUAGAUUUUUUUUAAAAAAAAUCUAUUUUUGGCUCUAUUAAGAGACAAAAUGAAUCCAAAUGUAUUCCAUACUUCUCUCACAUUGCACCAUUUUGUUAUGUAACAGAGAACGUUUGAGUACAUACUGUCCACACCAGCAACUAUAAAUCUGUCCUGGCAAGUGACUGUAAGAUACCCAGGAACAAGAGAUAAGGAGCUCGCCUCUCCAGGGAGAAGCUUUUAUUUGCAAGAGAGAGAGUGAUAUACAAGAACUUGCAAAUGUCUUUGAAGGGCAGAAAAAAUCAGCUAGGGCUAAUAAGGCAGCUGUCCAAGUUCAUGAUUCCUUGGCCCUUCUUUAUACACAACCACCAAGAGUUGUCAGUUUGCAAACCUAGAAAAGUAUACCAUUGUAAUAUCAGUUCAUCUCCCGCUUUUCCAGAGCUACUCAGAAGCGUGGUGGAUGCUUAGUGAAACGACCAGAGGUGUGAAGCUGCCAGACCUUUACCCAGAUCAACUUCUUUGACUCAGGGUACAAAUGAACAACGUAGUCUGACAGCUCACCUAAAAGUUAUUUGGAAUGAUUUUAUAUUGAGAGAUUUUUUUAAAGCCUAAAUUUAGAUUCAUCAGAGCAUAUCAAGGUUGAGAUAUGUGAAAGGCAGUGCUAUAUGGGAGGGUCAAGUUCCAUUCGUUUAAAAAUACCAGGACAUUUGCUGCUGUUUAGUAGGGGAGUUGGGUAGGGUAGAUAUCCUCACCUCCACUAUACAGAUUUAUUUAUUUAUUUAUUUUUUGAGACCAAGUUUCGCUCUGUUGCCCAGGCUGGAGUGCAUUGGUGUAAUCUCGGCUCACUGCAACCUCUGCCUCCCAGGGUCAAGCAAUUCUUCUGCCUCAGCCUCCUGAGUAGCUGGGAUUACAGGUUUGGUUUCAGAUACAGCAUCCCUUCUGCUACAUUCUUUAAAGUUAAAAAAAGAAAAACAAUUUCACUUUUAUUGGUGAUGGGCAUUCAACUGAAAUUACAAAUCGGGAAAACAUGACAUUCCAGCUCACAGCAGUCUGAUUAAAGGUGGAACUCUUAUGAAACCACAGGAUCUGACUGAACAUAUGGAUCAUCUUCUGGCAAGCUUAACAGACACCUGAUGUUUUCCUUGGCCAUCCAGAAAUCUGCAUCCUGGUGUAGAUAUCAUGAGUUAAUGAUGGAGUCAAGUGUAGAAAUGUGUCUGGGACUUGCAGACCUCUUGCUUUGUGAUACUUUCUUUUAUUUUCUUAACUGGCUGAGAAAAUGGCUGUCACUCCAAGUCUAUCUUCUGAUGGGCUGGUAGCUCUCAUUCAGGCCAUCCACAGCCAGCUGCCUUUCCCCAGACAACCUACAUUGCCUUGAGUCUUCUCUUAAAGCAAAAAGACUAGAGGAGAGGAGUGCUACUUUCUUCUCAGCCUUGCUGUCCCUGUCAUGUAAGGAGGUACUUAAAAAGCAUUCCUAUCCAGUUCUCUCUAUCUGCUCCGUCUUCUCUCCAUGCCCUCAUGGAGUACUUGGUAAAAACAUUUAAGUAGAUGACUUUAUGGAAUAUGAUUCCCCGGUUUUGGAGAAAUAAAAAGAUGAAUCUCAGACAUCAGUAAGGGCCACAUUCUAGUUCAAAUUAUAAGCCUGUACAUAAUCAGUAAAACUAUAUUAGAAAUAAAAGCUUCUCAAAAAUCCCAAGUGCUCGUUACCCAAAAAAUGAUGAUAGACGGGGGUCCCACAAAUGUGUAGUUGUGUAUAUGUCAUAGUAUACGAAGGCCAGGGAAAUACAUAGUGCCACCUGACCUAACCAGCUGUUAAGCAUAAUUACUGUGGUUUUGCCAGAAAGGAAUUCUAAAUGCAGGAAGGUUUGCCAUUAGUGGGCCACAGAACAUGAAAGACUUCCCUGCAAACCUUUUAGAAAAUUUAUGCUAGUUUAUAUUUCAGGAGGUAAUACCCAUUGGAUAUACUCUAAUUUGGGAAACAUGGGAUGAUUAAUGAAUUGAUACAACCUCUAGACCAGGGGAACAGAAGAAAGUUUGGCUUGCAAAAUCACAGGCUCCACCUGGUCAGCGCUUAUCUUCCUUGUUUAGCUCAAGUUAGGUAAGUUUACCUAAUACUCCUUAAAAGGAGUAUUUUAAAUUUAUGUUUGACAUUUAAUGAUUUCAGAUAGUUCUUGGACAUCAGGAUAAACAAAUUCAGUGUAGCACAUACGUAGUAUAAGAAUUCUGUUGAUAUAAUGCCGCAGUCAUAGUUGUAGCCCAUUAUUCCAGGUAAUAAUGAUGCUACAAUUAGAAAGUUUUCCAAUUGUAGUUUUGAUUUGCACAGUAGUAAUUGCUGUUUCUAUUUUCAUAGGCAAGGAGAAUCCACACAUGAAUUAGAGGCUUUCCAUAUUAGGCUUUUUGGAGACAUAGACAUGGUGGUGAUCGCAUGGGGUGUUUGAGAAAAUGGAGACUAAUUGAAUGCAAAGUAUUCUGUGGGGCAAGCAGAGUAAAGAAUCCAGUCAAAUGAUGUCAGCCAAGGAUGGCAAGCCCAUGCCCGAAAAACUGGCAGCAGCUCACCCAUACCAAGCCACCUGAGACAUUUCCUGGGCUGGAAACAACGUUACGGAAAUUGAACUUCCGUGCCAAAUUUACCACACCUCGCCAAAGCCUGGGCACCUCUCUUAUUCAUGGGUGCCUCAGGAGUAAUUACAGCUUUAUAGCAUAUCUACUAAGAACUUUAGUGAAAGUGAAAAGGAGUCGGUAACCUUGAAUUUUAGCAAACUAGAGAAGGAAGAUGUGGGUGUCCUUUCCUCACGCGUUAACAAGGAUGCUGUUAGGUUGUCUAUCUACUCUGAAUCCCUACUUAGGAGGAAAGUCACGUAUCUGGUUGUGCAAAUCAAAGAGCUUUGACAGUUUGUUUUUUGUUUGUUUUUAUUUGGGUGCAAUUUUUCUAGAAGACUAAAUAACCUGUAAAAGAUUAAAAACCAUGAUUGAGUGUGCCUAGAAAUAAAGACCACCCUUGACUGGGCUUUUUC
Molecule: long non-coding RNA, 4398 nt
Filed under: Homo sapiens (human)
Lineage: Eukaryota; Metazoa; Chordata; Mammalia; Primates; Hominidae
Description: HSALNT0323307
Source: RNAcentral